CGCCAAAAUAAAGCCGAGGCCGAGAGGAGUCGAUCGGCACCAAGAUCAGCGACCACCGACGCCGGAAACGCCCGCACGGCGGCAAGGAAGCUUCGGCCAUCUUCCUCCUCGCGCGAGAGCUGCUGCCGUCGCCCGCUGGUGCCGCUGACGCCUGCAGCUUCGCCGGCCAGCCCCGCGCCCCCGGACAGACGGCCCCGAUGCCGCAGCUCCUCCUCCGCGC
RNAcentral lists this long non-coding RNA (220 nucleotides) under Ricinus communis (castor bean). RNAcentral describes it as "long non-coding RNA (RCOM_LNC003550)". Lineage: Eukaryota; Viridiplantae; Streptophyta; Magnoliopsida; Malpighiales; Euphorbiaceae. The record is from RNAcentral.